Non-coding RNA from Pelobates cultripes (western spadefoot toad), 259 nucleotides. The record is from the annotation of a GenBank genome assembly. NCBI's taxonomy places the organism in Eukaryota, Metazoa, Chordata, Amphibia, Anura, Pelobatidae.
GGAGGGUGUGACUAGUGACAGAGUGAGGGAGGGAAGGGGUGACUAGUGAGAGUGAGGGAGUUGGUGAUUAGUGACAGAGGGAGGAAUGGGGUGACUAUCACUGUGUCACCCCCUUCCUCACUCUGUCACUAGUCACCCACUCCCUCCCUCACUCGGUCACUAGUCACCCCUCUCUCACUCUGUCACCAGUCAUUCCCUCACUCUGUCACCAGUCAUCCCUUCCUUCCCUCACUCUGCCACUAGUCAUCCCUUCCCUCAC